RNAcentral lists this ribosomal RNA (596 nucleotides) under uncultured bacterium. RNAcentral describes it as "bacterial SSU rRNA". It matches the Rfam family "Bacterial small subunit ribosomal RNA", at positions 331 to 929 of the family's 1533-position model. The record is from RNAcentral.
CCAGACUCAUACGGGAGGCAGCAGUGAGGAAUAUUGGUCAAUGGUCGGAAGACUGAACCAGCCAUGCCGCGUGCAGGAAGAAUGCCUUAUGGGUUGUAAACUGCUUUUAUAUGGGAAGAAUAAGGAGUACGCGUACUUUGAUGACGGUACCAUAUGAAUAAGCAUCGGCUAACUCCGUGCCAGCAGCCGCGGUAAUACGGAGGAUGCGAGCGUUAUUCGGAAUCAUUGGGUUUAAAGGGUCUGUAGGCGGGCUAUUAAGUCAGGGGUGAAAGGUUUCAGCUUAACUGAGAAAUUGCCUUUGAUACUGGUAGUCUUGAAUAUCUGUGAAGUUCUUGGAAUGUGUAGUGUAGCGGUGAAAUGCUUAGAUAUUACACAGAACACCGAUUGCGGAGGCAGGGGACUAACAGACGAUUGACGCUGAGAGACGAAAGCGUGGGGAGCGAACAGGAUUAGAUACCCUGGUAGUCCACGCUGUAAACGAUGGAUACUAGCUGUUUGGAGUAAUUUGAGUGGCUAAGCGAAAGUGAUAAGUAUCCCACCUGGGGAGUACGCACGCAAGUGUGAAACUCAAAGGAAUUGACGGGGGCCCGCACAAG